This 141-nucleotide ribosomal RNA is filed under the name uncultured bacterium. RNAcentral's name for it is "partial 16S rRNA". It matches the Rfam family "Bacterial small subunit ribosomal RNA", at positions 355 to 511 of the family's 1533-position model. The record is from RNAcentral.
UGGGGAAUUUUCCGCAAUGGGCGAAAGCCUGACGGAGCAAUGCCGCGUGGAGGUGGAAGGCCUACGGGUCGUCAACUUCUUUUCUCAGAGAAGAAACAAUGACGGUAUCUGAGGAAUAAGCAUCGGCUAACUCUGUGCCUG